AAGGGGGAGUCAGGAGCGAUUCAUUUCAAGGGGGCUUGGGGACAAUUCCGGUUUGGUUUUCUGAAAAUGCGUAGGGUUGUUUUCCCAAACUUCCGAGCUACUCUGCUCUUCGUCCCAGGAAGGCCAAGCAAAUAAAAGUCCGGGGAAAGUUCCUUUAACUUCCUUCCUGCGCCCUCGACAAGGGCUGCGAAGAGGAAGAGGUCAUUUCCCAGGGAAGCACCGGGCAGGGGCCGAGAGCUGCGCCCAGCCUGCAGGGAUGGAGGCGCUGGGCGGAGGGCUGGCUGCAGACGUAGGCCCCGGAAAGCCCCUUCCCCCCACCCUACCUCAGGCCAACGGCGCCUGGAGCUGGCCCCGCUGCAGCCCUUGCUGUUUGAAGUCCCGCGGCAAAGCGGCGACAACACCGGCGCAGCCCGGCGCCCCGACCCCGGCCGCCGAGCUCCCUCCCUGCAGCACCCCGGCACCCCAGCGCCCGGCCCAACCCGGCCCGCCACAUCCGCGCCCGCGCGGCCCAGCCCGAGCCCCGGAACGAUUCCGAGCCCCACGCCGGCGCCCGGUGGCGGGAGGGGGCGCCGAGCCCGCGGCUUACCUGCGUGCUGGAUCCCCGGGCUGCUCGGAGGGGUGCGGGGCGCAGGCGAGUGCGGCCCGCAGACUCUAACUUUGUUGCUCUCGGGACGGCGCAGUCGUCACUUCCUCGCGGAGCGGGCGGUGCGGCCCGGGCUGUGCGGCCCGGGCUGUGACCCAGCGGCUCGCGCGGUGGCGCGCAGGGCCCUGCAGCCAGCCGCCCCGCCCGCGCCCCCGGCUCCGCGCGCCCCUGGCCCCAGGCGCCGUCUCCCCACUCUGCGCGCCCUCGGCUGCGGGGUAGCGGGCAGCCCUGCGCUGCCGGCCGCCUAGCCUGCACCCCCCGCCCUGGGAGGGAAGCCUCGCUCCAGCCGCGUCGUUUCCGCGCCGAAGUGCGAUCCGGGGCCCCGCGCUGGAGUCCCCUGCUCUCAGGCUGGUCUGGAAGGUGGCAGUUGCUGGAGUACCAGGGCACCAAGUGGAGGAUGUGGUAGACAGCCUCUAAGAUGCGCCCCCUGCCAAUGAUCUCUGCCUCCAGGGAGGAGCUAGAAGGCAGAGAGAAAGCCACUCAGGACUUCCCAUCCCAGAAGAUAAAGGUGAGGAAAGCAGCAGCAGCAGCCACAGGCCAGUAUUCCAGAGCAGCUUUGGGUUCCUGUCAAGACCUGCUUUGAGAAGGAGGUGGCUGUGGGGCUGGAGGGCUGGGCCUGUUCCUGAGCUGGCUGCUGGCAGCACAGCAAUGAGGCAACAUUGAGAACUGCGACACGAGGCCCAGUCCUGCUACUAAACCAACUGUGUGGACUUGCAUAGUCACUUCACCCCUCGGGCCUCCAUUUCUCCACUUUGGAAAGCAGUGUUGGGACGAUGUUAAGGGUUUGCAACCUUCCAACAUGAAGACUUAUUUUUAAAAGCAAAACAUUUCAAAGAGUCCACAUGACAGUAGUGUUCAUUUUGGCAUCUGUUGAUUUAACAAAUACAAAAUUAGGCUGGGUGUAGUUGCUAACGCCUGUAAUUCCAGCACUUUGGGAGACCGAGGCAGGAGGAUCACCUGAAAUCAGGAGUUCGAGACCAGCCUGGCCAACAUGGUGGAACUCCAUCACUACCAAAAAUACAAAAAUUAGCUGGGCUUGGUGGCACGUGCCUGUAAUCCCAGCUACUCGGGAGGCUGAGGCAGGAGAAUCAUUUGAACCCGGGAGGCAGAGGUUGCAGUGACCUGAGAUUGCACCACUGUACUCCAGCCUGGGCAACAGGGCAAGACUCCAUUAAAAAAAAAAAUACAAAAUUAGGCAUGGUGGUGUUCGUCUGUAGUCCCAUCUAUUUGAGAGGUUAAGGCGGGAGGAUCACUUGAGCUCAGGAGUUUGAGUUUGCAGUGAGCUGUGGUCUGCCUGUGAAUAGCUGCUGCAGUACAGCUUGGGCAACAUAGUGAGAUUCCAUCUCUAGUCUUUAAAAAAAGGAAAAAUACGGCCGGGCGCGGUGGCUCACACUUGUAAUCCUAGCACUUUGGGAGGUCGAGGAGAGAGGAUCACCUGAGGUCAGGAGUUCGAGACCAGCUUGGCCAACAUGGCGAAACCCAUCUCUACUAAAAAUACAAAAAUUAGCUGGGUGUGGUGGCGCACGCCUGUAAUCCUAGCUACUCAGGAGGCUGAGGCAGGAGAAUUGCUUGAACCAGGAGGGAGAGGUUGCAGUGAGCCAAGAUCGUACCACUGCGCUCCAGCUUGGGCAACAUAGAGAGAUCCCAUCUCUAUUUUUUUAAAAAGGAAAAAUACAAGGGAUACCAGAGCACUGGGCCAGUGCUUGUUAUAAAGUCCAUCAAUGGGCCAGGCACGGAGGCUCACACCUGUAAUCCCAACACUUUGGGAAGCCGAAGUGGG
RNAcentral lists this long non-coding RNA (2423 nucleotides) under Homo sapiens (human). Its description in RNAcentral is "HSALNT0213059". Lineage: Eukaryota; Metazoa; Chordata; Mammalia; Primates; Hominidae. The record is from RNAcentral.